This 253-nucleotide ribosomal RNA is filed under the name uncultured bacterium. Its description in RNAcentral is "partial 16S ribosomal RNA". It matches the Rfam family "Bacterial small subunit ribosomal RNA", at positions 524 to 776 of the family's 1533-position model. The record is from RNAcentral.
UACAGAGGUCUCAAGCGUUGUUCGGAUUCAUUGGGCGUAAAGGGUGCGUAGGCGGCGCGGUAAGUCGGGUGUGAAAUCUCGGAGCUUAACUCCGAAACUGCAUUCGAUACUGCCGUGCUUGAGGACUGGAGAGGAGACUGGAAUUUACGGUGUAGCGGUGAAAUGCGCAGAUAUCAGGAGGAACACCGGUGGCGAAGGCGGGUCUCUGGGCCGAAAUUGACGCUGAGGAGCGAAAGCGUGGGGAGCAAACAGG